Non-coding RNA from Capsicum annuum, 103 nucleotides. Lineage: Eukaryota; Viridiplantae; Streptophyta; Magnoliopsida; Solanales; Solanaceae. The record is from Rfam.
AUCCCUUUGGGGACAUUCGAUAAAAUUGAAAUGAUACAGAGAAAAUUAGCAUGACCCCUACACAAGAUUGACAAACACAAAUCAAGAAAUUAGCUAUUUUUUU